This 332-nucleotide unclassified non-coding RNA is filed under the name soil metagenome. Its description in RNAcentral is "partial contains 5.8S ribosomal RNA, internal transcribed spacer 2, and large subunit ribosomal RNA". The stretch from base 1 to 120 matches the Rfam family "5.8S ribosomal RNA", at positions 35 to 154 of the family's 154-position model. The record is from RNAcentral.
GAUGAAGAACGUAGCGAAAUGCGAUAAGUAAUGUGAAUUGCAGAAUUCAGUGAAUCAUCGAAUCUUUGAACGCACAUUGCGCCCGCUAGCAUUCUGGCGGGCAUGCCUGUUCGAGCGUCAUUUCAACCAUCAAGCCCUGUUUAGGCUUGUGUUGGGGCCCUGCGGCUGCCGCAGCCCCCUAAAUGCAGUGGCGGGCUCGUUGUCACUCCGAGCGCAGUAGCGUAUCUCGCUCUGGGCGUGGCGGCGGGUGCUAGCCGUGAAACACCCACUAAGGUUGACCUCGGAUCAGGUAGGAAUACCCGCUGAACUUAAGCAUAUCAAUAAGCGGAGGA